RNAcentral lists this ribosomal RNA (460 nucleotides) under uncultured bacterium. RNAcentral's name for it is "partial 16S ribosomal RNA". It matches the Rfam family "Bacterial small subunit ribosomal RNA", at positions 338 to 795 of the family's 1533-position model. The record is from RNAcentral.
CCUACGGGUGGCAGCAGUGAGGAAUAUUGGUCAAUGGGCGCGAGCCUGAACCAGCCAAGUCGCGUGAAGGAAGAAUGCCCUACGGGCUGUAAACUUCAUUUAUAAAGGAAUAAAGUGAGGCACGUGAGCAUUUUUGUCUGUCCUAUAUGAAUCAGGAUCGGCCAACUCCGUGCCAGCAGCCGGGGUAAUACGGAGGAUCCGAGCGUUAUCCGGAUUUAUUGGGGUUAACGGGAGCGUAGAUGGGUUGUUAAGCCAGUUGUGAAAGUUUGCGGCUCAACCGUAAGACUGCAAUUGAUACUGGCAGGCUGGAGUACAGUUGAGGCAGGCGGAAUUCGUGGUGUAGCGGUGAAAUGCGUAGAUAUCACGAAGAACGCCGAUUGCGAAGGCAGCUUACUAAACUGCCACUGACAUUGAUGCUCGAAAGUGUGGGUAUCAAACAGGAUUAGAUACCCGGGUAGUC